AAGGUUAAAACUCAAAUGAAUUGACGGGGGCCCGCACAAGCGGUGGAGCAUGUGGUUUAAUUCGAUGCAACGCGAAUAACCUUACCUACUCUUGACAUCCAGAGAACUUUCCAGAGAUGGAUUGGUGCCUUCGGGAACUCUGAGACAGGUGCUGCAUGGCUGUCGUCAGCUCGUGUUGUGAAAUGUUGGGUUAAGUCCCGCAACGAGCGCAACCCUUAUCCUUUGUUGCCAGCGGUUCGGCCGGGAACUCAAAGGAGACUGCCAGUGAUAAACUGGAGGAAGGUGGGGAUGACGUCAAGUCAUCAUGGCCCUUACGAGUAGGGCUACACACGUGCUACAAUGGCAUAUACAAAGAGAAGCGACCUCGCGAGAGCAAGCGGACCUCAUAAAGUAUGUCGUAAUCCGGAUUGGAGUCUGC
RNAcentral lists this ribosomal RNA (418 nucleotides) under uncultured Serratia sp. RNAcentral's name for it is "bacterial SSU rRNA". It matches the Rfam family "Bacterial small subunit ribosomal RNA", at positions 890 to 1308 of the family's 1533-position model. The record is from RNAcentral. Lineage: Bacteria; Pseudomonadati; Pseudomonadota; Gammaproteobacteria; Enterobacterales; Yersiniaceae.